RNAcentral lists this ribosomal RNA (451 nucleotides) under uncultured bacterium. Its description in RNAcentral is "partial 16S ribosomal RNA". It matches the Rfam family "Bacterial small subunit ribosomal RNA", at positions 354 to 796 of the family's 1533-position model. The record is from RNAcentral.
GUGGGGAAUAUUGGACAAUGGGGGGAACCCUGAUCCAGCCAUGCCGCGUGUGUGAAGAAGGCCUUUUGGUUGUAAAGCACUUUAAGCGAGGAGGAGGCUACCGAGAUUAAUACUCUUGGAUAGUGGACGUUACUCGCAGAAUAAGCACCGGCUAACUCUGUGCCAGCAGCCGCGGUAAUACAGAGGGUGCAAGCGUUAAUCGGAUUUACUGGGCGUAAAGCGCGCGUAGGUGGCCAAUUAAGUCAAAUGUGAAAUCCCCGAGCUUAACUUGGGAAUUGCAUUCGAUACUGGUUGGCUAGAGUAUGGGAGAGGAUGGUAGAAUUCCAGGUGUAGCGGUGAAAUGCGUAGAGAUGUGGAGGAAUACCGAUGGCGAAGGCAGCCAUCUGGCCUAAUACUGACACUGAGGUGCGAAAGCAUGGGGAGCAAACAGGAUUAGAAACCCCGGUAGUCC